RNAcentral lists this ribosomal RNA (677 nucleotides) under uncultured bacterium. Its description in RNAcentral is "bacterial SSU rRNA". It matches the Rfam family "Bacterial small subunit ribosomal RNA", at positions 56 to 719 of the family's 1533-position model. The record is from RNAcentral.
UGCAAGUCGAACGAGAAAGCACCUUCGGGUGUGAGUAGAGUGGCGCACGGGUGAGUAACGCGUAGAUAAUCUGCCUUACAGUGGGGGAUAACUCAGAGAAAUUUGAGCUAAUACCGCAUACGUAUCAUGACAUGGAAAAAAUGAUAGAAAGGAUGCUUCGGCAUUCGCUGAAAGAUGAGUCUGCGUUGCAUUAGCUUGUUGGUGGGGUAAUGGCCUACCAAGGCAACGAUGCAUAGCGGGUCUGAGAGGAUGAUCCGCCACACUGGAACUGAGACACGGUCCAGACUCCUACGGGAGGCAGCAGUGGGGAAUAUUGCGCAAUGGGGGAAACCCUGACGCAGCAAUGCCGCGUGAGUGAGGAAGGCCUUCGGGUUGUAAAGCUCUGUCAGAUGGGAAGAAAACUACUUGGUCUAAUAGGCCUUGUAACUGACGGUACCAUCAAAGGAAGCACCGGCUAACUUCGUGCCAGCAGCCGCGGUAAUACGAAGGGUGCAAGCGUUGUUCGGAUUUACUGGGCGUAAAGCGCGCGCAGGCGGUUUGGUAAGUCAGAUGUGAAAUCUCGGGGCUCAACCCCGAAACUGCGUCUGAAACUACUGAACUAGAGUUAUGGAGGGGAGAGCGGAAUUUCGCAUGUAGGGGUAAAAUCCGUAGAGAUGCGAAGGAACACCAGAGCCGAA